Capsicum annuum is the source of this 3739-nucleotide RNA transcript. It is a transcript of the gene named TATA-binding protein-associated factor BTAF1, with no coding region annotated. Lineage: Eukaryota; Viridiplantae; Streptophyta; Magnoliopsida; Solanales; Solanaceae. The transcript has 5 exons. The record is from RefSeq and is a predicted model, not a curated record.
UUUAUUCCCUCCAUUUUCACACACACACAAAAAAAAUCAUUAAGUCCGUCCAAAAAAUAAAAAGAACAUUUUAAUAAAGCUUUUGGAGCGGCUUCUCUAGCUUAAACCUACUAUACAGUACUCUCAUUUUGUGGAGACGAACGUGGAGACAAUCAAUCGAUUAGGGCCAUGGAGACAAUCAAUCGAUUAGCUUCUCUUCGCUACAAUUGCUACAACGACAAUUUCUACAAUCAAUCGCUACAGUCGCCGGUGGUGAGCUGUUUAGACGAUCUGGUAGUGAGCUGCCGGUGGUGAGCUCUGUGGGAUUUACUGGUGCCGCUUCAAAAAUGAUUUACUGGUGCCAGGGAUAUUCAGAUUUUUCGCUCUGUGGGAUUCAAAAUCAAUUUUUUGCUUGGUGAAUGAGAUUGUUGCUAUUUGGAUCAGAAGGAAAUAAUUGAACUGUACACCAUCAUGCCAAAAACACAAUUGACAAUUCUAAGAAACAGCUUUCCGAUCAUAACAUUACGCAUCAACAGAGAAUGGUAUUGCAGCAAGCAUAACUGAUAAAUUAAAUGGUGCAGCAGGCUAUAAAAACUAGAUAUGAGUAUCAUAAUCUCAUUGCAAAAGAGAGUACAUUUUGAAGGGUAUAAGGUAGCUAGAGAGGAGGAGGACUAGUUAAUUGUUUUGGUUAGAAACAACCUUGAGGAGCUUCCUCUGCUUAGAUUUAGCAAUCUUUUUGAGCGUCUUUGGAUUGGUGAUCUUCUGAACCUUGGUCCCGGACUUGAGAAUGUUUUUCUUCUUCUUCUUGUCUCUUUCCUCCUUCUGUUUCCUCUUGUUCACCUCCUUCUACCAUGUUACUUUGUUAAACCUGGAAAGUUCCGUCCUUCAUGUUAGCAAUUUCUAUGAUCUGUCACACCUCUAAAUUCUUUUGGUAACUUCCAAUUAUUUUCGGUAUUAAAGAUCGUCUCGGGGAUAUAAUGGGACUUUGUAUUCCAAAUCUUGACUUUCAUGAUUAAUAGUUUUGCUAGUGCAUAUGUGAAGGUCUUGGAACCCAAAAAAGCAGGUGGUAGAGGAUCAGUCAUGAACCUUUUUAAUCAAAGGCUUCCUUGGAAGUAUUUGUCAGUUCCUUUUGCUUUGACAUUCAGUAUUUAAAGAGAUUUUUCUCCGUUUUUGAGCAGUGUUACUUAUUUGAGGCUUGAUGGAUCAGUUGAACCAGAAAAGCGCUUUGACAUUGUGAAAGCAUUCAAUUCGGAUCCUACUAUAGACGUUUUACUGCUUACUACACGUGUUGGUGGGCUUGGUUUGAACUUGACAUCAGCUGAUACCCUUGUAUUUAUGGAGCAUGACUGGAAUCCAAUGCGAGAUCACCAGGCAAGAUUAAGUCUGCGAUGAAGUAUGGAGGUUAUUUGUUAUUUACUAUCCAUCCAGAUCCUACUUCUUCCAUACCAGAAGAAUGACUUAUGGAUAAUACAUAAUAAUUUGGUGGACGGCUUGUUCUGAACAGGCAUACCUGGAAUUUUUGACAUUGGAGAUGUUGCAGCUUUUCUGUUGAUGAUUAGAUCUUCUGACUACUUGAGGCCACAAGAUUUGCAAAAUAAGAAGUUUGGGAUAAAAUCCUGUAGAGGUACAUGCCGUGGUUUUUUACACCUUAUUGAGUCGAGUGUUUUUCCAUGUGAAAAAUCUUUGUCUCAUACUGUUUUAGCAUUGUUCAAACACGCUGGACAACUUGUUUCAUUAAUAGGAAACUGCUAAGCUAAAAUAAGUAAAUCAGUAGGUCUAGUACUCUAUCAGUAUAUUGUCCUUUGCACCUUUUGCAGAGUUGCCAUUCUGUUUAUGAUUCUCUUCUUGCAGCUGUAAUGGGAAGGUGAUUUGCAUAAAUGAAAGGCAACUAUAUUGGUUACAUUUAUGGGUAAUAUGUUUUUAACAUUUUACUAUGUCCUACAUUUUCUACUUUCACCCCUUAUCAUAAAAUUAAUUCCUUCAGAAAUGAUGAUUAAGAUUCAUAACUUUGGUCGGGAUAUGGAAAUAUGAAAUAAGAACAGAUUGCGGUUAUCUGCACAUCUUAGAUAAGUUUGUAGCUUCGGCCCAAACCUAGUAUUGUGUUACGAACUUCACUUAGUAUGUAUAAAUAAUUUGUCAAGAAUCAAAUAAGUAAAAAGAGGUGCACAAAAAUUUUAAAUCUUAGAUCUGCCUCUGCUGCCGAUCCAUUUGGGUAAGUGUCUUAGUUGACUUACUGUAAUCAUCAUAAAACAUGCUGUACAGACGUGUCACAAUAGACCUCAGCGGAGUGAGAGUACAUAUGAUAAAGAAUAAUCACUAUCUCUACAACCAAACGCAAACACCAAUCAGUUCCCCCCUUCAAUGAAACGUGUAAAUACAAAGGAAGAAACUAAGAAGAUAGAGAUAGAUAGAUAGAGAGAGAGAGAGAGAGAGAGAGAGAGAGAGAGAGAGAGAAAGCUGUAAAAAACCAAUAUAAUGAGCCAAAAGAACAACCUACGACUAGGUGAUCUUGAUGCUGUGGAAGGUGAGUUUGAUGAUCUCUGGGUAACAGGUGACGCCAUGCUAUCUUGGAUUCCUUACCCUUUCUCCACUAGCUUUGCUCCUCGUGGGUCGAUACAAGCGUCUUCUGAAGCGACUGGGUGAAACCAUUUGAAAAUUUUUGUCACGCAUAUUUCUCCAUUGUAGCGUUCAUCAACAACAGCACCAAAUAUGCUGGUACCAACUUACGAGAAAUAUUGCCAUUAUUUCAGAUAUCUUUGUUGCUUUUCAAAGAUAGGUGAAGGUUUCUUUAUUACUUUAUCAUUCUCGGGAUAUGAACAAUAAGAAAGAACCAAAGAAAAGAACAAUAUUCAUCACCUGAGACACCCUAUUCACUUCUUGCAAAGUUAUGUCUUUUCCUCCCGUAAUGUUAUAUACUACCCCAGUUGCAGACUGAAUUGAUGACCCAAUUAGAGGGGCCAGAGUAGCUUGUUCGGCGGCUUCUUCAGCUCGGUUCUUGAUGAAACCCCAACUCCGAGCAUAGCAUUUCCAGAGUCUUUCAUCACUGCCUUAACAAUGCAUAUUAACAAUGCAUACUGCAAUAAUGCUAUUAACAUGGUACAUUGCAAAUACGUACAUUUGCUAACCUUUUUAAUGGGAAAACUCUUCUGCUAUGAUAUUAAACAGAUGUAACUUCUGAAAACAUGUAGUACAAAAAAAUCCAUCAUAGAAGAAAUAUGCAUCUUUUUGCGUUGGCGAGUGUCUGCAUCAUGAAAAGGAAAGACAUACUGACUUUUGACGAAGGAACUCAGUGAUUAUAUCAGAUAUUCCUUGGACACCUUGAUGUAAUACAUCAUCCGCAAGAAGAAAAGCAUCUUGAAGUGGUGGUGUCUGCUCAUCGGCAAUAUCUAGUAGACGAUCAAUGGGAAUAACUAUAAGAGUGUCAAACAUUUUUUUGAAGAUUUUUAAUUGCUUCCAGAGCCUCUAGGUUAAUAAUUUCAAAUUAGAAACAUGAAAGACUGGAUGACAGAAGAAAACAUAGCUGUUUCAACAUGUAGACGAUCAUAGUUAGUAUAAGCAAAUGUAUAGAGUUAAUGUUACAUUGAUGAAGUAGUUAGUUGGUUAAUUGGUGGGUCAGCUAUCGAGUUGGUUGUUAGGUUGUUAUGCAAGGCAAUGAGCUGUGUAGAAGUGUGUAGAAGCUCACUCAGCUCAACAUCUGUCUAUAAAUUAGAGCAACAACAAUGUAAAGCUAAUGGAUUGAUAAAAUUGACUCUCUCUUUCA